This 357-nucleotide transfer-messenger RNA is filed under the name bovine gut metagenome. It matches the Rfam family "transfer-messenger RNA". Rfam says of the family: Bacterial tmRNA, also known as 10Sa RNA or SsrA, is named for its dual tRNA and mRNA-like properties. Its role is to liberate the mRNA from a stalled ribosome. To accomplish this part of the tmRNA is used as a reading frame that ends in a translation stop signal. The record is from RNAcentral.
GGGGAUGUCAAGGUUUCGACGGGGGUCGACGAGAUCCUGGGAGCUAUCCGUGGGCCGGGCCACGCAACAACCGGACCUAAAUAUAAACGCUAACGACGAAUCUAAUUUCGCUUUUGCUGCUUGAUCAUUUGAUCGCAGCCGCUCUUGCAUAGACGACCCGCGGUCUGUGCCGGGGCCCAUCCAUAGCGGGCCACUUACGUACGUCGCCCGGGCGUUCGUAAAGAUCUUUACCGGGCUGCCGGUGCCCACUGCCCUGCCGACGGGGCUGGAAUCCGGGAGAUCUUAAACAUCGGCUAUGAUAGUAGAGCCCAAGAUGGAGGGGCUUUCGGACAUGGGUUCAAUUCCCAUCAUCUCCAU